CGCCCAAUUGUCAUCCCUAAGUGCACCUGUAAUAUCCUAAAAAUCUUAAACGUACUUAAGUGAGUAAUUAACAUAAUAAUGUAGUUAGAACAUAUCUUAUUCGUUCCACUAAUUAUGCAACGUAUAAUAAAAUGAUUAUAGAAUUUCAACAUAAAAAUUUACCAACUUAAGUUAUGACGAUAAUUUAUAAUUUACAAUUUCAUGAGUUAAACAAGAAAGCUAAUAUAGUUGAUAAUUCACUUAUUGUACAAAAUGUCAACAUUUCACCCAAGAUUUCACUAAGUCACGUUGAUAGGUGUAAGUGUGGAGAAUUUCUGAUUUUUGGUUGAGAAAAUAAAAAAAAAAAGGAAAAAGAAAAAAAAAAUAAAGCUUUGGUCAAUCCCCAUUAAUGGUGUCUUCCUCCUCACUCACCAUGUACAUUUGUCAUUCAUGCAAUCACAACUCUCUUCUUUUUCUUCAGUCAAGAUAUGUCCCCAACCCAUCACAAUUGCUUCUUCAAGUUAACAAAAUCAGAUUACUUACUUCACCAUCCUCCACCCAACCACUGAUUUUAACUCCCAAAUUUCCACUAUAAAUAGCCAUGGAAGUUCAACAUCAAGAACACAACAACAACCUUCAUCAUCUCUUCUCCUUCUAAUCUGAAAUUCAGUCAAUAAUCGUCGGAAAAUUUGCAACUAAAAGAAACCCAAAAGUAAACCCCAAAUUUGUUCUCUCUCUCCUCAGUUUCGACCCCAACAUCCGACCACCGUCGGCCACCGCGCGCGCCACCUGCGCCGCGCCCAGUUCCGUCCCCACCCCGCUGUCGUUCGUCGACCACGCGCAGCUCGCCGGAGAUCCGCGGCGCCAGCAGUUCUCUCUUUCCCCUUCGCACUCUCUCGCUCCUCUUUUCUUCGAGCGACGCUGCUGCACGCGCAGCACUGCCGACGACCCGCGUGCCCACCGCCGGAGAUCGACGCCGCUGCUGGUCGCGCCGUUCACCGGAGCCGGCAUCCCACCUCUGCCGGAAUUGUCGUCCUCCCUGCUCCUAGUAGCAGAGAUUAAAGAAGAUAAAGGAUAUUACAAGCCUCCCCCGGCUAUCAUGAUUGGUAAGCAGGAAUUCAGGUAUGGAAGAACAGUUGUGGAUCACUAAUAGACUGCGUUAUGGAGACUAAGUAUGAUUUUAUGAGGUUUUAGGAUACUUUGUACGAUGGAUAAACAAGUAUAAUCUUGCGAUGAGUAAUUGUAUAGUGAAUUUUCAAUUUUAGGCUAUAUUUUAUUUGUGGGCCAUAACCCACAGGAUUAGGUUA
This is a long non-coding RNA of Beta vulgaris subsp. vulgaris (sugar beet), 1286 nucleotides long. RefSeq lists it as uncharacterized. The transcript has 3 exons. Lineage: Eukaryota; Viridiplantae; Streptophyta; Magnoliopsida; Caryophyllales; Amaranthaceae. The record is from RefSeq and is a predicted model, not a curated record.